RNAcentral lists this ribosomal RNA (496 nucleotides) under uncultured bacterium. RNAcentral describes it as "partial 16S ribosomal RNA". It matches the Rfam family "Bacterial small subunit ribosomal RNA", at positions 29 to 507 of the family's 1533-position model. The record is from RNAcentral.
AUGAACGCUGGCGGCGUGCCUAAUACCUGCAAGUCGCGCGAACGGACGAGAAGCUUGCUUCUCUGAUGUUAGCGGCGGACGGGUGAGUAACACGCGGAUAACCUACCUAUAAGACUGGGAUAACUUCGGGAAACCGGAGCUAAUACCGGAUAAUAUUUUGAACCGCAUGGUUCAAAAGUGAAAGACGGUCUUGCUGUCACUUAUAGAUGGAUCCGCGCUGCAUUAGCUAGUUGGUAAGGUAACGGCUUACCAAGGCAACGAUGCAUAGCCGACCUGAGAGGGUGAUCGGCCACACUGGAACUGAGACACGGUCCAGACUCCUACGGGAGGCAGCAGUAGGGAAUCUUCCGCAAUGGGCGAAAGCCUGACGGAGCAACGCCGCGUGAGUGAUGAAGGUCUUCGGAUCGUAAAACUCUGUUAUUAGGGAAGAACAUAUGUGUAAGUAACUGUGCACAUCUUGACGGUACCUAAUCAGAAAGCCACGGCUAACUACGUG